CAAUUGAUGCACGCAUGCUCACGCAUCAACCAUCGAUACAGACAAACAUGCACACCUUGGAUGACACCGAUCGAUCACUGACUCAUCGCCGGCCUAUGCUUUACAUACGUGUGUGUGAUCAGAGCACACGACUGUGAGAGCUAGCUAGCUAGUUGGCUUCAUCGAGCGACAAUGGCCUCCGACCGCCUCAGCGCCCUCCGGGCCUUCGACGACACCAAGGCCGGCGUCAAGGGCCUCGUGGACGCCGGCGCCACCGCCAUCCCGGCCAUUUUCCACCACCCACCCGACGCCUUCGCCCCGUCCACUGUCGCCACCGACGUCGCCGUUCCAAUCGUCGACCUCUCCUGCGAGCGCUCGGCCGUGGUCGGCGCGGUGAGGGCCGCGGCGGAGACGGUGGGCUUCUUCCUGCUGGCGAACCACGGCGUGCCGGAGGCGGCCAUGUCGGGGAUGCUGGCGGCGGUGCGGCGCUUCAACGAGGAGCCGGCGGAGGCCAAGGCGCCGUACUACACGCGGGGCGCGGCCAGGCGCGUGCGCUACAGCUGCAACGCGGACCUCUUCCAGACGCUGGUGGGCAAGUGGCGCGACACCGUGUACAUGGACGACGCGGACCGGCCGGCAUCCGGCGAGGAGACGGAGGAGCUCCUCCUCCCGCCGGCGUUGAGGGGCGUCGCGCCGGAGUACACGGGGCAGAUGCGGCGGCUGGGGCGCGCCCUCUUCGAGCUGCUGUCGGAGGCCCUGGGGCUGCCUCGUCCUGCCUACCUGGAGGAGGAGGCCGGCUGCAUGGCGGCGCUCAGCGUGGCCGGCCACUAGUACCCGGCGUGCCCGGAGCCGCACCUCACGAUGGGCACCGUCAAGCACUCCGACCCCAGCUUCCUCACCGUGCUGCUCCAGGACGCCGUCGGCGGCCUCCAGGUGCUCGUGGACGACCCCUCAAGGACGGCAGCGAGCCCGCCGCGUGGGUGGACGUGCCGGCGAUGGGGGAGGCGUCGCUGGUGGUGAACGUCGGCGACUUCCUGCAGCUGGUGUCCAACGACAGGUUCAAGAGCCCGGUGCACCGCGUGGUGUCCAAGAGCGUGGGGCCCCGGGUGUCGGUGGCGUGCUUCUUCAGGGCGAACGGCCCGACGGUGUGCGCCCCGGUGGUCGUCAACGGGAGCGGACCGCCGCGGUACAGGAGCAUCAAGGCGGAGGAGAUGCUCUGCAUGUCCAAGACACAGACACGGCUCAACAACGUGAGGCUCUAGCUAGCUAGCAUCCGUUCUGUUUAAUAAAAAAAAAACUAGCUAGCAUCCGUGCGUUCACAAGGAUAGUCUGGCACAUCUCUAUGUUGUGGGAUGCAAACAUCAUCAAUGUUGCAAUAUAGCAAUUCUGUAUGCUGUCAGCAUUUGCCAUGACAAAAAUAUCAUGCCAAAGAUUAUUUUCGAGUACUCAAGAAAAUCAAAAAAUUGUCAUGAAUUUAUUCAUAUACUGUAUUAAAUAAAAUGCCAUGACCCAUCAAUUAGAGUUGCCAUACAGGAUUAAGUUGAACAUGAAUGCAUCUAUACAUGGAUGUGUACUCCAUGCAAUUAAGUUGACAUGCUCCAUACAAAUCACAUGGCAUGGAAAAUUUGCCACGGCAGAAAAAGAGUAAAAUUUGCCAUGUGAAUGAAAAUCAUUUUUUCCAUGGCAAAAAAAAGUAAAAUUUGCCAUAUGAAUAUAAUUUAUUUUUGACAUAGAAGAAGAGUUUAAAUUUUGCCAGGGCAAAAAAGAGUAAAAU
Molecule: ribosomal RNA, 1753 nt
Filed under: Triticum aestivum (bread wheat)
Lineage: Eukaryota; Viridiplantae; Streptophyta; Magnoliopsida; Poales; Poaceae
Description: partial small subunit ribosomal RNA
Source: RNAcentral